GUUUAUACAUAUUUGUGUUAUACAUUGGAAUUAUAUCAAUGUCAACUUUAUCUGUAGAGCAUCGAAUAUUCAAAAUGUAGAUGGAGCUAACGAAGUUACUAGACAACUAUUGCUGCUGCUGAUAAUGUUUUUAUUUCUCGUCCUAAAACAGCGAUACAUUUUUAGCUUUCGUUAGAUAUAUAAAUUUUUCCUGAAGAGGCAAAUGUCGUUUCGUUCAAGGAAUGGAUGCAUAACGAAUAAGUGCAUUUUCGGACAUAAUUUCAUAUAUUUCGCAAUAUUAUUGAAAUCAGCACAAAUUAUCAUAUUGGAACUUUCAAGUCCUUCGACAUGCCUUGCUUCAACAGUAUACAAUAAACUUUUUAAUAGAAUCAAUAUGUUGAGAGAUUUAUUAAUGACAAAUGAUUGGAGCAUUCUAUGCCAUGCAGAAACCAGCAAAAACAUUAUCUUAUAAGAGAACUUAUACUGCAAUAACAAUGAAUUUAACGAUAACAAAAAUUGUUGGAAAUUCCAAAUCAAAAGAACUCAGAGUUCUCAUCUUCUUACAACAAAAGAGAGAGCUUAUAUCCAUGAAUUGGUUAAAAAGCUUAAUCUGAAAUAAAAGAGCCAAAGAAAGGGUAUGAAUCGAUUCUUGGUGGUAUAUAAGACAGAAGAAUCAACAAUAAUUCAAGCUGAUGCUGUGAUAAAAUUAUGAAAACUAUUUAAGUAAAACAUACAUAAUUUUUUAUUAUAAAUCACAAAGACCUUUUGUUUUCUCUAAUAAAGAAAAAACAUUCUGUAAAUAAUGUUGCUUUAUGAAAAAACUAA
Long non-coding RNA from Camponotus floridanus (Florida carpenter ant), 804 nucleotides. RefSeq lists it as uncharacterized. NCBI's taxonomy places the organism in Eukaryota, Metazoa, Arthropoda, Insecta, Hymenoptera, Formicidae. The record is from RefSeq and is a predicted model, not a curated record. The transcript has 3 exons.